GGGCCCGCACAAGCGGAGGAACAUGUGGUUUAAUUCGAUGAUACGCGAGGAACCUUACCCGGGCUUGAAAUGUACAUGACGAUAGAGGAAACUUUAUUUCUAGCAAUAGCAUGUAUGUAGGUGCUGCAUGGUUGUCGUCAGCUCGUGCCGUGAGGUGUCGGCUUAAGUGCCAUAACGAGCGCAACCCACAUUGUUAGUUACUAACAGGUUAAGCUGAGGACUCUAACAAGACUGCCGGCGUAAGCCGCGAGGAAGGUGUGGAUGACGUCAAAUCAGCACGGCCCUUACGUCCGGGGCGACACACGUGUUACAAUGGGAGGUACAAAGGGCGGAGCUACCUGGCGACAGGAUGCUAAUCUCCAAAACCUCUCCCAGUUCGGAUUGGAGUCUGCAACUCGACUCCAUGAAGCUGGAUUCGCUAGUAAUCGCGCAUCAGCCAUGGCGCGGUGAAUACG
RNAcentral lists this ribosomal RNA (455 nucleotides) under uncultured Bacteroidales bacterium. Its description in RNAcentral is "bacterial SSU rRNA". It matches the Rfam family "Bacterial small subunit ribosomal RNA", at positions 917 to 1370 of the family's 1533-position model. Lineage: Bacteria; Pseudomonadati; Bacteroidota; Bacteroidia; Bacteroidales. The record is from RNAcentral.